This 77-nucleotide transfer RNA is filed under the name Alphaproteobacteria bacterium. Its description in RNAcentral is "tRNA-Arg". It matches the Rfam family "tRNA". From Rfam's summary of the family: Transfer RNA (tRNA) molecules are approximately 80 nucleotides in length. Their secondary structure includes four short double-helical elements and three loops (D, anti-codon, and T loops). Lineage: Bacteria; Pseudomonadati; Pseudomonadota; Alphaproteobacteria. The record is from RNAcentral.
GCACCCGUAGCUCAACUGGAUAGAGUUUCUGACUUCGGAUCAGAAGGUUAGAGGUUCGAAUCCUCUCGGGUGCGCCA